UCUGUCUGACUAGUGUUCUGUAAAAUAAGGUUUAAACCGCUGGUCUCUGUCUGACUAGUGUUCUGUAAAAUAAGGUUUAAACCGCUGGUCUCUGUCUGACUAGUGUUCUGUAAAAUAAGGUUUAAACCUCUGGUCUCUGUCUCUGUCUGACUAGUGUUCUGUAAAAUAAGGUUUAAACCGCUGGUCUCUGUCUCUGUCUGACUAGUGUUCUGUAAAAUAAGGUAUAAACCGCUGGUCUCUGUCUGACUAGUGUUCUGUAAAAUAAGGUAUAAACCGCUGGU
Molecule: long non-coding RNA, 281 nt
Organism: Oncorhynchus keta (chum salmon)
Lineage: Eukaryota; Metazoa; Chordata; Actinopteri; Salmoniformes; Salmonidae
Exons: 3
Source: RefSeq, a predicted model, not a curated record